GCAAAUCUAGCUAUUUCAUCAUCUCUGCCUGAGCUCACCACCACUACUAGCGCUAGCUAGCUUGAUCGUGAUGGCCCAUUCUGCUGUUGCUCAGGUCGUGCUCGUCGCCGUGGUGGCCGCUAUGCUCCUCGCAGCCACGGAGGCGGCCGUAUCGUGCGGUCAGGUGAGCUCUGCCUUGAGCCCCUGCAUCUCCUAUGCACGCGGCAACGGCGCCAACCCGUCUGCGGCCUGCUGCAGCGGCGUUAGGAGUCUAGCCAGCUCAGCCCGGAGCACCGCUGACAAGCAAGCGGCGUGCAAGUGUAUCAAGAGCGCUGCUGCUGGGCUCAACGCUGGCAAGGCCGCGGGCAUCCCCACAAAGUGCGGCGUUAGCGUUCCCUACACCAUCAGCUCUUCGGUCGACUGCUCUAAGAUUCGCUGAUCGAGCACUUGCUGCCAUCGCUGUUGCCAUCGUCCCCUGCACCAUCGUUGCUGGAUCUACGCUUAGUAUGUUGAGGUCACACACACGCACACACACAUAUAUAUAUGAAUAAAUGCUCUCAUAUUAUCUCACUGCGUGAGAGAGAGAGGAGUACGUACGUCAAGCAGCUCUGCAUGGCCGGCCCGAGUUUGGUUGUUCCUCCACUCCCCGAGUAUGCUGUACUUUGUACCAUGUGUAAUUUUGAUAUAUGGAUUGUAUACUCAGCUGAUCAGCUCUACUUGCGUGCGCAUGUUAUUCAGCACUUUUGAUAUAUGCAAGACUGGGAAAGCAUUCGAUUCCAGUUUGUUGCUCCAAGCAAGACGUAGGAAUGAACCCCAACAAUUUACUAGGAAUGGGACUAUGGCAUUUCAGUCAUUUUUUGGUUCCUCAACAAAACACACCCUAAAACUGUUUGUUAUAUAUUUGUAAUUUGUAAUGAUGGAUCGAAUCACAGUAAUAAACCGGCGUUCUGACAGGGUAUGACAUAACAAAGCUUAGUGGACUACGGCACUAAAUACUUGCACAAAUAGAAAGUUAAUAUCUACUUUUCACUACAGGUGGACCAUGUGAAUAAUAGAAUUUUCUCCUUAUUUACAGGAGGCGCACGGAUGGACAUAUUCUCUCCAUGCUAAUUUGAGUCAGGUGUUUGAAUUUUUCCAAAAAUAUACUAUACCUUAAAUAUAUUUAUAUAUAAGCAUUUAUACUGAAGUUUGACCUUUUUCAUCUCAACAUAGCUCGAUCUGUAAUGGCUUCAGUAACCGUGGGAUGAUCAAUUAUCUUUUUCUAUGUUGUAUCCUCAUCCACAUGAAAAAAAGAGACAAUCAUGGGUAACUUUUCAGGGAAAAAAAGAUGAUGCUUAUUUAGUUUAUGAAAAACAGUUUUGACGAUGACUUUCCCCACGAUGACGGUUGGUAAAGCCUUUAACUAUAAUAUGUUGUUUUUGUGUUUUUGAAUUGACAGAAUCGCAAGAUCAGUUCAGGAAAGAAAUAAUGUAAUGUGACCAAAAUAAGCAAACAUAACUUGCGGCAAUAAACAAUUUUUUUUCAUUUCCUGAUUGAGAGAUUUAUUCACUGCCUGCAUUGCAACUAUAAGUUGCACGGAUUUUUCUUAUUGUUUCAAGCAUUUUAGAUUGGAUAUUAAAAACUUUAAUCAGACACUGUUUGAAUAUUACAAAAUUGAUGUCAUUGUAAGUCUAUGUUAUCAAUUACUUUUGCAGUUUUAGUAAAUUUUAGUGAUAGCCUUCAGCUUGGAGUACGUGGACUAAAUGCUUAUGGUAUGAAAAAUAACAAGAAAGUUAUGUUGUGUCACAUUGAAAGUGGAUAGUUGAUCGUCAGCUGCUUGCCAAUAUCGCACAACCACAUAAUUUCAGUCUUUUUCCAUCAAAAACUGUACUCCCUCCGACCCAUAAUAAGUGUCGCAUCUUUGAGCUAAGGUUUAACUAACCUUAAUUUAAAGCUGCGAUACUUGUUUUGGAUCAGAGGCAGUAGAAUUUACCAAAUACAGUUUGGUAUCCGAAUUUAGAUAACUAUUCAUCUUCGGUAGCAAAUAUGAACUCCAUAUGUUUAUUGAAGUUCAAACAGAUAUAUCUAAUUUUAUUCAAGUGAUUUUAGUAAAAAUGUGGCCGAAAAUGUGUAUCUCAGGGCUAAAAGUUCUAAAAUUUUAGUAUUUUCCGAAUACAGAUUGGUAUGUAAAUUUUGAUAUCAUUUUAGCUUUGGCAGAAAAUAUGAACAUAUAUUUCGAUUGAAGUACAAAUAGAAAUAUGUAAAUUUACUAAAAAAAACUGGUCUAACAUAUUUUUCCAUAGAAGGCCUCGGUGCCAAAACUUACGGCGGGGCACGACAAGAUGUUUGGUUUCUAUUCUCUUCAUAGGCACCGCGCCAUUGUCUUGCAAAAUGUAUGAUUUAUCAUUUGGUCCGCCUUAUUACCAUCGCAUCUCCAUCACAUACGUGGUUCUCAGGCCAAGGAAAAAGGUGAGCUUUAUAGGAUAAGGGCGUAGCGGUCAAAAACUGUUUCACGAGUCUCCGUUGCCCAAAUUUGGGGUGUCGUAGAUAUUGCUAAGUUCCCCAUGGCUCCUACUAGUACACUUUGAAUCUAUAGGAAGAUGCAUCCCGGGCUGGUAUAUUGAAGACUAGAAAGUCGAUGUAAGUUGGUUUUUUAACUUUGCCCAAAGAAGUUGGGUUUUAAUUCCUUGUAGCAGUACAAGGUAGGAGGUGUGUGUGAAAUGAGAGAGCGGAGAAGUUUAAUGACCUGCGCGGCAGAGGUGGCCGUUGGAUCCAUUUAAUACGCCAGCGCUAUUAUACACAUCUACAACAUCGUGGCCCAUUGAUUUGGUCCAUGCUUGCACAAUGCUCUGCCGACGAUUUGAGGAGCUCGAUGUGCCGACCAAAACAACGUGGGUGUGUCUAGAGACGGAGGGAAAACUUCCAGAGCUGAUAGCAUUGUAAAUUUCGUUACCACUCCCUAUGUUCAUGGAUAAGUAUACAUACAAAUUUAAAGUCCAUUGAAAAGAUAGAAGUACUCCAACCUCAUUCCUAGUAGCGCCACUUGUGGAUCAAAAGACCAUAGAUGGGAGCGGUGCAACGCACCCAUAUUCCGCUAUAGGAUCCGGAUGCGCCAAAGUCAUUUGCAUAAUAAAGUCGAUAUUUUAUAACACAGAAGCGGAAUAUAGGUGCACCGUGCCAUACAUAAUACAUGGUAGAUUUACCCAAAAGACAUGUCUUCAUAUAAACCAAAUUAAUCAUUAAAAUGCAGUCCUGAAUAUUGCAUCAAUGAAGGUGAUUGAACGGUGGCCCUGCACGAGCAAACCAAAUUAAUGCACUCAACCACUCCACAGUCGAUCAUUGUAGGAGUACAUGUCGUUAUUAAUCUGCGCUGCACACGCUAAUGAACCACACUGCAUCGCUAGGUACGCAUGCUUGGUCGAUCAAUGGGCCCAACCCAACAUCCAACCGUCUCCCAAAUGCUUUAAUAUACCCAGCAACCUAAUCCAACAUCCAGCGACAAACAUUUAUGCAUUGGCUCACACCAAUCGAAUUUAUCCCUGUGGACGCAAUACUUGCCACAAUAAUAGUGUACAGUUUACUUACUACAAAUGGUAUCACAUGUUGGUUAGCAGCUCUAUUUAAGCCCAUGCACACCCUACGAAACACCUCACCGGUACAAUCACUUAGCAAAUCUAGCCCAUCUCACCAUCUCCAGCUGAGCUCAACACCACUUCUACUGCAAACUCGAUAGGGAUGGCCCGCGGUGCAGCUACUCAGCUCGUGCUGGUCGCCAUGGUGGCCGCUAUGCUCCUCGUAGCCUGCGAUGCGGCGAUAUCCUGCGGUCAGGUGACCUCUGCCUUGAGCCCCUGCAUCUCCUAUGCACGCGGCAACGGCGCCAACCCGCCUGCGGCCUGCUGCAGCGGCGUCAGGAGUCUGGCCGGUGCAGCCCGGAGCACCGCUGACAAGCAAGCAGCGUGCAAGUGC
This 3924-nucleotide long non-coding RNA is filed under the name Triticum aestivum (bread wheat). RNAcentral's name for it is "long non-coding RNA (TAES_LNC026695)". The record is from RNAcentral. Lineage: Eukaryota; Viridiplantae; Streptophyta; Magnoliopsida; Poales; Poaceae.